GAGGAAUAUUGGGCAAUGGAGGCAACUCUGACCCAGCCAUGCCGCGUGCAGGAAGACGGCCCUAUGGGUUGUAAACUGCUUUUAUACAGGAAGAAACCCAUCCACGUGUGGAUGGCUGACGGUACUGUACGAA
Molecule: ribosomal RNA, 133 nt
Filed under: uncultured bacterium
Lineage: Bacteria
Description: partial 16S ribosomal RNA
Rfam family: Bacterial small subunit ribosomal RNA
Source: RNAcentral